RNAcentral lists this unclassified non-coding RNA (253 nucleotides) under uncultured Pseudobdellovibrionaceae bacterium. Its description in RNAcentral is "uncultured Bdellovibrionaceae bacterium contains 16S-23S intergenic spacer region". It matches the Rfam family "Bacterial small subunit ribosomal RNA", at positions 524 to 776 of the family's 1533-position model. The record is from RNAcentral. Lineage: Bacteria; Pseudomonadati; Bdellovibrionota; Bdellovibrionia; Bdellovibrionales; Pseudobdellovibrionaceae.
UACGAGGGGUCCUAGCGUUGUUCGGAAUCAUUGGGCGUAAAGCGGGUGCAGGUGGUUAAGUCAGUCAGAUGUGAAAUCCCCGGGCUCAACCUGGGACGUGCAUUUGAUACUGCUUAACUUGAGUGCGGUAGAGGAUAGUAGAAUUCCUGGUGUAGUGGUGAAAUACGUAGAUAUCAGGAGGAACAUCGGUGGCGAAGGCGGCUAUCUGGGCCAGCACUGACACUCAGACCCGAAAGCGUGGGGAGCAAACAGG